RNAcentral lists this ribosomal RNA (506 nucleotides) under uncultured fungus. Its description in RNAcentral is "SSU rRNA". It matches the Rfam family "Eukaryotic small subunit ribosomal RNA", at positions 569 to 1078 of the family's 1831-position model. The record is from RNAcentral. Lineage: Eukaryota; Fungi.
AGCAGCCGCGGUAAUUCCAGCUCCAAUAGCGUAUAUUAAAGUUGUUGCAGUUAAAAAGCUCGUAGUUGAAUUUCGGGAUCAAUCUAUCGGUCGUGCAAUAGUACGUACUGAUUUUAUUGAUUCCUCCCUUCUGAUGAACUAUGAUGUCAUUAAUUUGGUGUCAUAGGGAAUCAGGACUGUUACUUUGAAAAAAUUAGAGUGUUUAAAGCAGGCUCACGCUUGAAUACAUUAGCAUGGAAUAACGAAAUAGGACGUUUGAUUCUAUUUUGUUGGUUUCUAGGAUCGACGUAAUGAUUAAUAGGGAUAGUUGGGGGCAUUAGUAUUCAAUUGUCAGAGGUGAAAUUCUUGGAUUUAUUGAAGACUAACUACUGCGAAAGCAUUUGCCAAGGAUGUUUUCAUUAAUCAAGAACGAAAGUUAGGGGAUCGAAGACGAUCAGAUACCGUCGUAGUCUUAACCAUAACUAUGCCGACUAGGGAUCGGAUGAUGUUAAUUUUUUAAUGACUCU